Helianthus annuus (common sunflower) is the source of this 1006-nucleotide long non-coding RNA. RefSeq lists it as uncharacterized. NCBI's taxonomy places the organism in Eukaryota, Viridiplantae, Streptophyta, Magnoliopsida, Asterales, Asteraceae. The transcript has 3 exons. The record is from RefSeq and is a predicted model, not a curated record.
AUCUCUCUACCUAAUCACUUUCUCUCCCAAGUUCUCAACAAAACAACCACCACCAUCAUCACUCCACUACAACCACCACCGUCAUCGCCGCACCAACACUGCAGCACCACCACCUCCACCAACACCGCAGCACCACCACCAUUGUAGCCCCUCCACCACCGCUGCACCACAUCGGAAAAUGCUAACGAAGAAUGAAAGCCAAAUCGGAGACGAUUAAGGGCAUGUUUGGGUAAGCUUAUUGAAACAACUUAUUGACUUAUUGGCUUCUUGGAAAAGUCAGGAUUUUGUGACUUAUUGACUUAUUGGCUUUUCCCCCUCACAUACACCCUCUUUGCCAAACAUCAUUUUAGAGCUUAUGACUUUUCAAAAAGCCAAUAAGUCAAUAAGUUGUUUCAAAAAGCUUACCCAAACAUGCCCUAAAGCUUACCUGUGACUACUACCUUACAUCGUUGUUGUCAGCCACUAUUUACCUGCACUAGUUGCUGUUGAAGUUUGCUUUUUAAAUCAGAAAAUUUUUGGGGAUGUGAAUCAAAUAGAUUUGGGGGAUGUGAAAGAUUAUAGAUCUGGUUUUGGGGAUUUUGGGGGACGGUGGUGAUUCAGAUAUGGGGGGCUGGUGAUUCAGAAGAUGCGGAGGGUCGAUCCAGACUUUAGAAGAUAUAGGGGUUACUUGGAGAUUGGUGUCAAAAAGUGUAUAAAACCAGUGUAGUACCCUCUUGUAUGAGAGUUGAAUGUUUAGUAGAUGAGUUUGGCUCCAAAACCAAGAGGCUAAAAGGAAUUGGUAUUGGUGCUUCUGACGUUCCUAUUUCCCUUGAUGACUUCCGGAAACUUCAACGAUCAGACUUGGAAUUAAGGAAGCACUUGGAAGAUCAAGUUGCAACCAUUGACCAAUUACAGAAUGAACACUGUGUAGCCACUGAGCUUCAUGAAAGUUGUAUUAGCUUUAUUGGGAGAGAUAGAGACAAAGAAGAGAGAGAAAUUUAAAUAAAUUAAUUUUUUUAUUUUUUAA